This 486-nucleotide ribosomal RNA is filed under the name uncultured bacterium. RNAcentral's name for it is "partial 16S ribosomal RNA". It matches the Rfam family "Bacterial small subunit ribosomal RNA", at positions 30 to 507 of the family's 1533-position model. The record is from RNAcentral.
AUUGAACGCUGGCGACAUGCCUUACACAUGCAAGUCGAACGGCGGCACGGGUGCUUGCACCUGGUGGCGAGUGGCGAACGGGUGAGUAAUACAUCGGAACAUGUCCUGUAGUGGGGGAUAGCCCGGCGAAAGCCGGAUUAAUACCGCAUACGAUCUACGGAUGAAAGCGGGGGACCUUCGGGCCUCGCGCUAUAGGGUUGGCCGAUGGCUGAUUAGCUAGUUGGUGGGGUAAAGGCCUACCAAGGCGACGAUCAGUAGCUGGUCUGAGAGGACGACCAGUCACACUGGGACUGAGACACGGCCCAGACUCCUACGGGAGGCAGCAGUGGGGAAUUUUGGACAAUGGGCGAAAGCCUGAUCCAGCAAUGCCGCGUGUGUGAAGAAGGCCUUCGGGUUGUAAAGCACUUUUGUCCGGAAAGAAAUCCUUGGCCCUAAUACGGUCGGGGGAUGACGGUACCGGAAGAAUAAGCACCGGCUAACUACGUG